CAUACUUAACCAUGAAGUUCUUAUGAGUUGGGCUCCUGAAAAGAAGUUGCAACUUGUUUUCGAGAGCCCAACUCAUAAGAACUCCAUGAUUAAGUGUG
Molecule: microRNA precursor, 98 nt
Filed under: Lotus japonicus
Lineage: Eukaryota; Viridiplantae; Streptophyta; Magnoliopsida; Fabales; Fabaceae
Description: miR11169 stem-loop (lja-MIR11169)
Source: miRBase by way of RNAcentral